Molecule: ribosomal RNA, 270 nt
Filed under: uncultured bacterium
Lineage: Bacteria
Description: partial 16S ribosomal RNA
Rfam family: Bacterial small subunit ribosomal RNA
Source: RNAcentral
GUCCUGGCCCUAAACGGUGUUCACUUGGUGUGCGGGGAGUCGACCCCCUGCGUGCCGCAGCUAACGCGAUAAGUGAACCGCCUGGGAAGUACGACCGCAAGGUUAAAACUCAAAGAAAUUGACGGGGCCCGCACAAGCGGUGGAGCAUGUGGCUUAAUUCGAUGCAACGCGAAGAACCUUACCUGGCCUUGACAUGCUGGUGGUAGAAGCCAGAAACGGCGACGACUCCUCGCAAGAGGAGAGCCAGCACAGGUGCUGCAUGGUUGUCGU